This 472-nucleotide ribosomal RNA is filed under the name uncultured organism. RNAcentral's name for it is "partial 16S ribosomal RNA". It matches the Rfam family "Bacterial small subunit ribosomal RNA", at positions 331 to 799 of the family's 1533-position model. The record is from RNAcentral.
GUACACUCCUACGGGAGGCAGCAGUGAGGAAUAUUGGACAAUGGGUGGAAGCCUGAUCCAGCCAUCCCGCGUGCAGGAAGACGGCCCUAUGGGUUGUAAACUGCUUUUAUCUGGGGAUAAACCUACUUACGUGUAAGUAGCUGAAGGUACCAGAAGAAUAAGCACCGGCUAACUCCGUGCCAGCAGCCGCGGUAAUACGGAGGGUGCAAGCGUUAUCCGGAUUUAUUGGGUUUAAAGGGUCCGUAGGCGGACUGAUAAGUCAGUGGUGAAAUCCGACAGCUUAACUGUCGAACUGCCAUUGAUACUGUUAGUCUUGAGUAAGGUUGAAGUGGCUGGAAUAAGUAGUGUAGCGGUGAAAUGCAUAGAUAUUACUUAGAACACCAAUUGCGAAGGCAGGUCACUAAGUCUUAACUGACGCUGAGGGACGAAAGCGUGGGGAGCGAACAGGAUUAGAAACCCUAGUAGUCCCAUG